This 408-nucleotide long non-coding RNA is filed under the name Equus asinus (donkey). Its description in RNAcentral is "lncRNA (ENSEASG00005037841.1)". Lineage: Eukaryota; Metazoa; Chordata; Mammalia; Perissodactyla; Equidae. The record is from RNAcentral.
UCUGCUUCUUUUGGAUGGAAUGUUCUGUAAAAAUCCAAGUCCAUCUGGUCUAACAUGUCAUUUAAGGAGUAGCUCUUUAUCUUUGAGCAUCCUCCCAUCCUCUUCUCAGUUUGAAGACGAGUGUCCACAGUGGGAAUUAUUCUCAAAUAUUUCCUGUCCUUGAAGUUUAAAAACUUGACAGCGCUUCCCUCACUGCACCCCCCAUGCCAAAAGAAAUGCAAUGAAAGGACUUAAAAUAAGAAGAGAGUGCAGUAUAUAAGCGGUUUUGUGUUUUUUGCUUUUAUCUGUCGAAAGAAACAAACAUAAGAUUUUUUUAUGCUUUCAAAAAUCUAAAUCAUGAUCUAUUUUCUGUUGCUGUUUCUAUUUUUAUACCAAUAAAAACAAGCAUCAUGUCUAUUUCCCGAAGAA